CCCACAGAGGGCACCACCUCACACUUAGUUCCUCAUACUUAUUUCCCAGGAGAAUGAGUAAAAAGAGGGUCAACAUCACCCUUUCAAAGACUUACUUCCUCAGUCACAGAUGUUCAUUGGUCUCUGCACUUUUAAGGAGUCAGGUUUGAGAGCUCAGAAGGGGCUGCUGCUCAGUCAUCUGUUGUUACCCUGCUGCUUCCAACAGGAUGGAGGUUGGGAGGUCAUCCUGCCUGGGACUUGUGAAAGGAGACUGAGAAAGAGCAGACCCAGGUGAGAUGUUUUCUGUUUGUUCUGACAGGAUCACACUAAGUUUAAUGUACAAUUACAUGUUGAUUACCUAAGCAUGCUUAUUACUGGUAUUUUAUGUUAGCUUUUAAUAACACAAGUAAAUAUUAUUAUGCUAUUUACAGAUGAGGGAAGUGGGCUCGAGAGUGGAUGAGUGAUGGGGCCGAUGUCACAUUUCGGAAGUGGCGGGCUCAGAUCAGGUCAGGUCUGUUUAGGCGCCAUGGAAAGUGAGGCCAUCAGGUGAUUCAGGCAGAAAAGAAGUGGCCACUCUUGAUGCUGUACCAGGUGGACUGCCUCAUAGGGUAAGGAGACAUUCUUCCAGGGGCUUA
This 614-nucleotide long non-coding RNA is filed under the name Fukomys damarensis (Damara mole-rat). RNAcentral's name for it is "lncRNA (ENSFDAG00000026953.1)". The record is from RNAcentral. Lineage: Eukaryota; Metazoa; Chordata; Mammalia; Rodentia; Bathyergidae.